This 849-nucleotide ribosomal RNA is filed under the name uncultured bacterium. Its description in RNAcentral is "bacterial SSU rRNA". It matches the Rfam family "Bacterial small subunit ribosomal RNA", at positions 67 to 937 of the family's 1533-position model. The record is from RNAcentral.
CGAUGAGGUUUCUUCGGAAAUACAUCAGUGGCGGACGGGUGAGUAACGCGUUGGUAAUCUACCUUACACUGGGGGAUAACAUCUGGAAACGGGUGCUAAUACCGCAUAUGUGCAAAGCUGGGAUGUUUUGUACGAAAGAUUUAUUGGUGUAAGAUGAGCCUGCGUAUGAUUAGCUAGAUGGUGGGGUAACGGCCUACCAUGGCGAUGAUCAUUAGUUGGUCUGAGAGGAUGGCCAGCCACAGUGGGACUGAGACACGGCCCACACUCCUACGGGAGGCAGCAGUAGGGAAUAUUGCGCAAUGGACGAAAGUCUGACGCAGCAAUUCCGCGUGAAGGAUGAAGCCUUUAGGGGUGUAAACUUCUGUCAAUAGGGAAGAAUUAGACGGUACCUAUAGAGGAAGCACCGGCUAACUACGUGCCAGCAGCCGCGGUAAUACGUAGGGUGCGAGCGUUGUCCGGAAUUAUUGGGCGUAAAGCGUCCGUAGGCGGUUAAGUAAGUCUAAUGUAAAAGGCAUCUGCUCAACAGAUGUUGUGUAUUGGAAACUACUUGACUAGAGUAUGGUAGAGGUUGCUGGAAUUCCAGGAGUAGCGGUGAAAUGCGUAGAUAUCUGGAGGAACACCGGUGGCGAAAGCGGGCAACUGGACCAUAACUGACGCUAAUGGACGAAAGCUAGGGUAGCGAAAGGGAUUAGAUACCCCUGUAGUCCUAGCCGUAAACGAUGAACACUAGGUGUUGGGUGAAUCGACCCAUUCAGUGCCGCAGCUAACGCGCUAAGUGUUCCGCCUGGGGAGUACGGCCGCAAGGNUGAAACUCAAAGGAANUGACGGGGACCCGCACAAGCGGUGGAA